UUUUAAUUAAAAACUAGAAUGAAAGGUUAUACAUUCAAAUUUCUUUAUUAAUUUUUAAUAAAUAAUUUAUAUUAAAUAUAAAAAUAUAUUUAUAAAAAAAAAAGACGACAAGACCCUAUUAAAUUUUACUUAUAGUUUAGCUGGGGAAGCUUUUCAAUUAAAAUUUUUUAAAUUAAAUAAAUAAAAAUCUAAUAAAAUUAAAAUUUUAAUAAAUUACUAUAGGGAUAACAGCAUUAUAUUUUUUAAAAGUUCAUAUUAAAAAAAAUGAUUGUGACCUCGAUGUUGAAUUAUAUUUUCUAUAUUAAAUGCAAUAAUUAUAAAAGUAGAUCUGUUCGAUCUUUAAAAUAUUACAUGAUUUGAGUUCAAACCGGUGUAAACCAGGUUGGUUUCUAUCUUUUUAUAUAUUUUUCCAGUACGAAAGGACAAAAAAAUUUUUAUUUUAAUAAAUUAGCAAAUAAAUGCAUUAGAUUUAGAAUCUAAAUAUAUUUAAUAAUU
Molecule: unclassified non-coding RNA, 495 nt
Filed under: Anelosimus baeza
Lineage: Eukaryota; Metazoa; Arthropoda; Arachnida; Araneae; Theridiidae
Description: partial contains 16S ribosomal RNA and tRNA-Leu (trnL)
Rfam family: Bacterial large subunit ribosomal RNA (bases 99-398)
Source: RNAcentral